Molecule: long non-coding RNA, 1146 nt
Organism: Esox lucius (northern pike)
Lineage: Eukaryota; Metazoa; Chordata; Actinopteri; Esociformes; Esocidae
Source: Ensembl
GCUUGUAUAAAAGUGUAAAUUUGCUGUCCCCUCAAAAUAACUCAACACAGCCAUUAAAGUCUAAACCUCUGGCAACAAAAGUGAGUACGCCCCAAAGUGAAAAUGUCCAAAUUGGGCCCAAUUAGCCAUUUUCCCUCCCCGGUGUCAUGUGACUCGUUAGUGUUACAAGGUCUCAGGUGUGAAUGGGGACCAGGUGUGUUAAAUUUGGUGUUAUCGCUUACACACUCUCUCAUACUGGUCACUGGAAUUUCAACAUGGCAUCUCAUGGCAAAGAACUCUCUGAGGAUCUGAAACAAAAAAUUGUUGCUCUACAUUUAAAUGGCCUAGGCUAUAAGAAGAUUGCCAAGACCCUGAAACUGAGCUGCAGCACGGUGGCCAAGACCAUACAGCGGUUUAACAGGACAGGUUCCACUCAGAACAGGCCUCGCCAUGGUCGACCAAAUAAGUUGAAUGCACAUGCUCAGCUUCAUAUCCAGAGGUUGUCUUUGGGAAAUAGACGUAUGAGUGCUGCCAGCAUUGCUGCAGAGGUUGAAGGGGUGGGGGGUCAGCCUGUCAGUGCUCAGACCAUACACCGCAUCACUGCAUCAAAUUGGUCUGCAUGACUGUCGUCCCAGAAGGAAGCCUCUUCUAAAGAUGAUGCACAAGAAAGCCCGCAAACAGUUUGCUGAAGACAAGCAGACUAAGGACAUGGAUUACUGGAACCAUGUCCCUUUGUCUGAUGAGACCAAGAUAAACAUAUUUGGCUCAGAUGGUGUCAAGCUUGUGUGGCGGCAACCAGGUGAGGAGUACAAAGACAAGUGUGUCUUGCCUACAGUCAAGCAUGGUGGUGGGUGUGUCAUGGUCUGGGGCUGCAAGAGUGCUGUCAGCACUGGGGAGCUACAGUUGAGGGAACCAUGAAUGCCAACAUGUACUGUGACAUACUGAAGCAGAGCAUGAUCCCCUCCCUGGGGCCAAGACUGGGCCAAGGGGCAGUAUUCCAACAUGAUAACGACCCCAAACACACCUCCAAGACGACCACUGCUUUGCUAAAGAAGCUGAGGGUAAAGGUGAUGGACUGGCCAAGCACGUCUCCAGACCUAAACCCUAUUGAGCAUCUGUGGGGCAUCCUCAAACGGAAGGUGGAGGAGCGGAAGGUCUCUAACAUCC